GAUGAAGAACGUAGCGAAAUGCGAUAAGUAAUGCGAAUUGCAGAAUCCGUGAGUCAUCGAAUCUUUGAACGCACAUUGCGCCCUCUGGUAUUCCGGAGGGCAUGCCUGUUCGAGCGUCAUUAUCACCCCUCAAGCCCGGCUUGUUGUUGGAUGCAGCGCUUAUCCCGCUCCUCCCAAAGAUAAUGACGGCGUCUGCGACGACUCCAGUACACUGAGCUUUCGGGCACGUACACGGCUAGAAGUCCAGACCCGGUCGCCGUCCCCCCCGCGGGGACACCCAUUACCACAAGGUUGACCUCGGAUCAGGUAGGAAUACCCGCUGAACUUAAGCAUAUCAAUAAGCGGAGGA
This 349-nucleotide unclassified non-coding RNA is filed under the name soil metagenome. RNAcentral's name for it is "partial contains 5.8S ribosomal RNA, internal transcribed spacer 2, and large subunit ribosomal RNA". The stretch from base 1 to 119 matches the Rfam family "5.8S ribosomal RNA", at positions 35 to 154 of the family's 154-position model. The record is from RNAcentral.